AUUGAACGCUGGCGGCAGGCCUAACACAUGCAAGUCGAACGGUAACAGGAAGCAGCUUGCUGCUUCGCUGACGAGUGGCGGACGGGUGAGUAAUGUCUGGGAAGCUGCCUGAUGGAGGGGGAUAACUACUGGAAACGGUAGCUAAUACCGCAUAAUGUCGCAAGACCAAAGAGGGGGACCUUCGGGCCUCUUGCCAUCGGAUGUGCCCAGAUGGGAUUAGCUUGUUGGUGGGGUAACGGCUCACCAAGGCGACGAUCCCUAGCUGGUCUGAGAGGAUGACCAGCCACCCUGGAACUGAGACACGGUCCAGACUCCUACGGGAGGCAGCAGUGGGGAAUAUUGCACAAUGGGCGCAAGCCUGAUGCAGCCAUGCCGCGUGUAUGAAGAAGGCCUUCGGGUUGUAAAGUACUUUCAGCGGGGAGGAAGGGAGUAAAGUUAAUACCUUUGCUCAUUGACGUUACCCGCAGAAGAAGCACCGGCUAACUCCGUG
Molecule: ribosomal RNA, 490 nt
Filed under: uncultured bacterium
Lineage: Bacteria
Description: partial 16S ribosomal RNA
Rfam family: Bacterial small subunit ribosomal RNA
Source: RNAcentral